RNAcentral lists this ribosomal RNA (253 nucleotides) under uncultured bacterium. RNAcentral's name for it is "partial 16S ribosomal RNA". It matches the Rfam family "Bacterial small subunit ribosomal RNA", at positions 524 to 776 of the family's 1533-position model. The record is from RNAcentral.
UACAGAGGGUGCAAGCGUUAAUCGGAUUUACUGGGCGUAAAGCGUGCGUAGGCGGUUAGAUAAGUCGGAUGUGAAAUCCCUGGGCUCAACCUGGGAACUGCAUUCGAUACUGUCUGACUAGAAUUCGGUAGAGGGUGGCGGAACUCCGGGUGUAGCGGUGAAAUGCGUAGAUAUCCGGAAGAACACCGAUGGCGAAGGCAACCACCUGGGCCUGAAUUGACGCUGAGGCACGAAAGCGUGAGGAGCAAACGGG